AGUUUAUCCUGGCUCAGGACGAACGCUGGCGGCGUGCCUAAUGCAUGCAAGUCGCACGCACCCGCUUCGGCGGGUGAGUGGCGCACGGCUGAGUAACACGUGGGAACCCGCCCCCCGGUGGGGGAUAACGCGACGAAAGUUGCGCUAAUCCCGCAUACGUCCCCAGGGAGAAAGCGCAGUGCGCGCCGGGGGAGGGGCCUGCGGCCCAUCAGGUCGUUGGUGGGGUAAGGGCCUACCAAGCCGAUGACGGGUAGCUGGUCUGGGAGGAUGACCAGCCAGACUGGGACUGAGACACGGCCCAGACUCCUACGGGAGGCAGCAGCAAGGAAUUUUCGGCAAUGGGCGCAAGCCUGACCGAGCAACGCCGCGUGCGAGAUGACGGCCUUCGGGUUGUAAACCGCUUUUCGGGGGGACGAUGAUGACGGUACCCCCGGAACAAGCCCCGGCUAACUCUGUGCCAGCAGCCGCGGUAAGACAGAGGGGGCGAGCGUUGUCCGGAGUCACUGGGCGUAAAGCGCGCGCAGGCGGCAACCUAAGUGUCGUGUGAAAGCCCCCGGCUCAACCGGGGGAGGCCAUGGCAAACUGGGUCGCUCGAGCUGCGGAGAGGCCCCUCGAAUUGCCGGUGUAGCGGUGAAAUGCGUAGAGAUCGGCAGGAAGACCAAGGGGGAAGCCAGGGGGCUGGCCGCANGCUGACGCUGAGGCGCGACAGCGUGGGGAGCAAACCGGAUUAGAUACCCGGGUAGUCCACGCCGUAAACGAUGACCACUCGGCGUGUGGCGACUAUUGACGUCGCGGCGCGCCCUAGCUCACGCGAUAAGUGGUCCGCCUGGGAACUACGAGCGCAAGCUUAAAACUCAAAGGAAUUGA
RNAcentral lists this ribosomal RNA (867 nucleotides) under uncultured bacterium. RNAcentral's name for it is "bacterial SSU rRNA". It matches the Rfam family "Bacterial small subunit ribosomal RNA", at positions 10 to 913 of the family's 1533-position model. The record is from RNAcentral.